This 225-nucleotide ribosomal RNA is filed under the name uncultured prokaryote. RNAcentral's name for it is "partial 16S ribosomal RNA". The record is from RNAcentral.
UUCUGGUCGUGUUCAACAGACCUAUAAACAUUCUGUGCCGCGUUUCUUUGUUCCUGAGCAUGGCACUAUGUUUACUCUUGCGCUUGUUCGUUUUCCGCCUACUGCGACUAAAGAGAUUCAGUACCUUAACGCUAAAGGUGCUUUGACUUAUACCGAUAUUGCUGGCGACCCUGUUUUGUAUGGCAACUUGCCGCCGCGUGAAAUUUCUAUGAAGGAUGUUUUCCG